ACCUUAAAAGCAGCAUAAUGGCUUAAUGUGUUGCCUUAUUACAGCCAUGUGUGCUCAGGGGGGUUUAUAGCACAUGCUGAAGGAAACACGUUGUCUGUGUGCGGUCCUCGUGGUCCAGACUCUCCAUGCCAUACCUCCAUCGGCCGUGAUGGUCCGACCCGAACAGGGCGGAUAUUCCCUAUUAUAGACAACAUCACAGCACAAGUACAAUUAAAACCUCCAUAAAUCAAACCAUGUCCUUCGAUGACACAAUUUUUUUGGUUCUGGACUUCAGGAGUUGCCAUUGUAAAACCUUGAUUAACAGUGCAGAUAAUGUUUUAUGUAAAACAUUGUUAACCUUAACCAUGAUAUAACAAAAAUACAGCAAAACUACUCAUCCUUGAAGAUGUCAAUUUCAUCUUCGGUACGUCGUACACAGUACCGGUGCGCCCAAUACUACGCAGUUAGCGUUAGGCCUCACGCGACUCGCGUGACAUCAUCAUUCUGUCACUUGUUGUAACUUGUCUAGACUAGUAGCGCUGUAUGGCUUGCAGCAGCGUGCCGCAAAGAUGUCGCGGCAUUUUAAAUCAGGUCAUGAAAAAAGAAAGAGGUGUCUUCAUGACAAUGAGGAAAGACAACAGCAGUCAGAGUUCUGAACCGGCUCUAUACAUACAGUUGAUGGAUCGCUAACUAGCUAGAUAGCCAAAACAACAGGCCAACGCUUGCUUGCAGACGACUUCAAAGAUUUUUACGUCAGUGGUGGGCCAACGUACUUGGUAUCAUCAAAAUGAUUACGUCUAAAGAGGCUUUGGAUUCCAAUCUUGUGAGUGGUAGUAAUUGUGAGAAUGACGCUCGAGGCCAAUCAGCCGUCGUCGACACUAAAUUAAAAAGAUCCACUUCUCCCAUUAAUGCCGCAGAUAACAUCUGCAAUCGACAAGUUUGCACUCAUGGAGCUUUCAUCGCAAGCCAAGUCGUGAAAAGUCACAUGCGAGACAUAGUUGUACGUGUUUGGGUUCCCUUUUUAUUCACUUGUCUGUC
Syngnathus typhle (broad-nosed pipefish) is the source of this 1017-nucleotide long non-coding RNA. RefSeq lists it as uncharacterized. The record is from RefSeq and is a predicted model, not a curated record. The transcript is spliced from 3 exons. NCBI's taxonomy places the organism in Eukaryota, Metazoa, Chordata, Actinopteri, Syngnathiformes, Syngnathidae.